UACAGAGGGUGCGAGCGUUGUUCGGAAUUAUUGGGCGUAAAGGGCGCGUAGGCGGUGCGGUAAGUCACCUGUGAAAUCUCCUGGCUCAACUGGGAGCUUGCAGGCGAAACUGCCGUGCUGGAGUGUGGGAGAGGUGCGUGGAAUUCCCGGUGUAGCGGUGAAAUGCGUAGAUAUCGAGAGGAACACCGGUGGCGAAGGCGGCCAACUGGACGAAUACUGACGCUGAGACACGAAAGCGUGGGGAGCAAACAGG
This 253-nucleotide ribosomal RNA is filed under the name uncultured bacterium. RNAcentral describes it as "partial 16S ribosomal RNA". It matches the Rfam family "Bacterial small subunit ribosomal RNA", at positions 524 to 776 of the family's 1533-position model. The record is from RNAcentral.